Molecule: ribosomal RNA, 1372 nt
Filed under: uncultured bacterium
Lineage: Bacteria
Description: bacterial SSU rRNA
Rfam family: Bacterial small subunit ribosomal RNA
Source: RNAcentral
GAUGAACGCUGGCGGCGUGCCUAAUACAUGCAAGUCGAGCGAACAGACGAGGAGCUUGCUCCUUUGACGUUAGCGGCGGACGGGUGAGUAACACGUGGGUAACCUACCUAUAAGACUGGGAUAACUUCGGAAAACCGGAGCUAAUACCGGGUAAUAUUUCGAACCGCAUGGUUCGAUAGUGAAAGAUGGCUUUGCUAUCACUUAUAGAUGGACCUGCGCCGUAUUAGCUAGUUGGUAAGGUAACGGCUUACCAAGGCAACGAUACGUAGCCGACCUGAGAGGGUGAUCGGCCACACUGGAACUGAGACACGGUCCAGACUCCUACGGGAGGCAGCAGUAGGGAAUCUUCCGCAAUGGGCGAAAGCCUGACGGAGCAACGCCGCGUGAGUGAUGAAGGUCUUCGGAUCGUAAAACUCUGUUAUUAGGGAAGAACAAACGUGUAAGUAACUGUGCACGUCUUGACGGUACCUAAUCAGAAAGCCACGGCUAACUACGUGCCAGCAGCCGCGGUAAUACGUAGGUGGCAAGCGUUAUCCGGAAUUAUUGGGCGUAAAGCGCGCGUAGGCGGUUUUUUAAGUCUGAUGUGAAAGCCCACGGCUCAACCGUGGAGGGUCAUUGGAAACUGGAAAACUUGAGUGCAGAAGAGGAAAGUGGAAUUCCAUGUGUAGCGGUGAAAUGCGCAGAGAUAUGGAGGAACACCAGUGGCGAAGGCGACUUUCUGGUCUGUAACUGACGCUGAUGUGCGAAAGCGUGGGGAUCAAACAGGAUUAGAUACCCUGGUAGUCCACGCCGUAAACGAUGAGUGCUAAGUGUUAGGGGGUUUCCGCCCCUUAGUGCUGCAGCUAACGCAUUAAGCACUCCGCCUGGGGAGUACGACCGCAAGGUUGAAACUCAAAGGAAUUGACAGGGACCCGCACAAGCGGUGGAGCAUGUGGUUUAAUUCGAAGCAACGCGAAGAACCUUACCAAAUCUUGACAUCCUUUGACCCUUCUAGAGAUAGAAGUUUCCCCUUCGGGGGACAAAGUGACAGGUGGUGCAUGGUUGUCGUCAGCUCGUGUCGUGAGAUGUUGGGUUAAGUCCCGCAACGAGCGCAACCCUUAAGCUUAGUUGCCAUCAUUAAGUUGGGCACUCUAAGUUGACUGCCGGUGACAAACCGGAGGAAGGUGGGGAUGACGUCAAAUCAUCAUGCCCCUUAUGAUUUGGGCUACACACGUGCUACAAUGGACAAUACAAAGGGCAGCGAAACCGCGAGGUCAAGCAAAUCCCAUAAAGUUGUUCUCAGUUCGGAUUGUAGUCUGCAACUCGACUACAUGAAGCUGGAAUCGCUAGUAAUCGUAGAUCGGCAUGCUACGGUGAAUACGUUCCCGGGUCU